RNAcentral lists this long non-coding RNA (944 nucleotides) under Marmota monax (woodchuck). The record is from RNAcentral. Lineage: Eukaryota; Metazoa; Chordata; Mammalia; Rodentia; Sciuridae.
GAGCUAUGCUCCUCAACUCACUCCUAAAGCAGGUGGCUGCAGCCUAAGCCCUCCACCAUCCAUGCCACCAGCCUGGCCCUGGCCUCGGGGAGCAAACCAGAUGGACAAGCAUGUGCCCAGACGAGAGAGAGCUGCUGCCUUUCCCAGCACUGCCCAAGUGAGCCCGCAGGUGUGGGUGCUGAGCUGGAGGCCAGCCUGGACAAGAGGUCAUGGCUGGCCUCAGGUGGAGCCCCGAGAGUCCCUUCAUCACCCAGUGAUUCUGCUUCUCGUGGAUGGAGAGACUGACACAGGACAGGGAGAUGAGCAGACAGGGUGUGAACCACGGAAGGGCAGAAUGGGAACUGAGAACAUCCUCUUUCCUGCCCUUGGGGAAAAUCUGGGCCUCUAGCCUUCAUCUGGAGCCUCCAUUCUGUCCCAGCUUCCCAAGUUCCAGAUCCCAAGGUGGCUCCAGCCUCCUGGAUGAUGCCAAGAGUCACGAGCCCUCCCACCUGCCAGGCCUGAGGAAGAGAGCUCAGUCUGUCUCAAGCAAGACAAACACAGGGACCCCUGCUCCUAGGGCUGGCCACUGUGCCCCAGUCCAGCAGAGACGCCCAAGCCAGAAUGAGCUCCAGAGUAGGACACAAGGCCCAGAGCUUCGGGCUCUGAGGCCCCAGAAGGCCUGGGCUCAGGGCUCCUCUGUCACAGCUGCUCCUCCAGCUGUGUACAGGGCAGGCGUGGGGUGGCCACCGGUAGAAGAUCAGAUGGCAGAAGGAUUCAUGACUUAUCUGUGAGUUCCCAUGUGUGGGGAUGGGAUGAAAUAUGAACCAUUCCACUAAUUGUACGUUGAAGGCCAUCCAGCUCUACCUCCAGCCUUCCUUCCUCCUCCCCAGCUCCAGUCCCCCACACCCCUGCCCCAGUCUGCACUCCUCCCCAGUGCCCCCUCCCCUGCACUCAGGGUCCCCUCC